Molecule: ribosomal RNA, 924 nt
Filed under: uncultured Bacteroidota bacterium
Lineage: Bacteria; Pseudomonadati; Bacteroidota
Description: bacterial SSU rRNA
Rfam family: Bacterial small subunit ribosomal RNA
Source: RNAcentral
GGAUCCAGACUUUGAUCAUGGCUCAGGAUGAACGCUAGCUACAGGCUUAACACAUGCAAGUCGAGGGGAAACGAUAUUGGAAGCUUGCUUCCGAUAGGCGUCGACCGGCGCACGGGUGAGUAACGCGUAUCCAACCUGCCCACCACUUGGGGAUAACCUUGCGAAAGUAAGACUAAUACCCAAUGAUAUCUCUAGAAGACAUCUGAAAGAGAUUAAAGAUUUAUCGGUGAUGGAUGGGGAUGCGUCUGAUUAGCUUGUUGGCGGGGUAACGGCCCACCAAGGCGACGAUCAGUAGGGGUUCUGAGAGGAAGGUCCCCCACAUUGGAACUGAGACACGGUCCAAACUCCUACGGGAGGCAGCAGUGAGGAAUAUUGGUCAAUGGGCGAGAGCCUGAACCAGCCAAGUAGCGUGCAGGAUGACGGCCCUAUGGGUUGUAAACUGCUUUUAUAAGGGAAUAAAGUGAGUCUCGUGAGACUUUUUGCAUGUACCUUAUGAAUAAGGACCGGCUAAUUCCGUGCCAGCAGCCGCGGUAAUACGGAAGGUCCGGGCGUUAUCCGGAUUUAUUGGGUUUAAAGGGAGCGUAGGCCGGAGAUUAAGCGUGUUGUGAAAUGUAGAUGCUCAACAUCUGCACUGCAGCGCGAACUGGUUUCCUUGAGUACGCACAAAGUGGGCGGAAUUCGUGGUGUAGCGGUGAAAUGCUUAGAUAUCACGAAGAACUCCGAUUGCGAAGGCAGCUCACUGGAGCGCAACUGACGCUGAAGCUCGAAAGUGCGGGUAUCGAACAGGAUUAGAUACCCUGGUAGUCCGCACGGUAAACGAUGGAUGCCCGCUGUUGGUCUGAAUAGGUCAGCGGCCAAGCGAAAGCAUUAAGCAUCCCACCUGGGGAGUACGCCGGCAACGGUGCAACUCAAAUGAAUUGACGG